AUGUACGUGCCGCAGUCGUCCCGCGGCGGGGGCGGCUCCUCCGGGGAGCAGCCUAGGGUUUACCAAGUCUGGCGGGGAAGCAACGAGUUUCUCUUGCAAGGGCGGUUCAUAUUUGGACCUGAUGUGAGAUCCUUGUUUCUCACUAUAUUCCUCAUCCUUGCACCAGUGUUGGUCUUCUGUAUAUUUGUUGCCAGACAUCUGAUGAAUGAUUUUCCUGAUCACUGGGGGAUUUCAGUUAUGGUUGUAGCGGUUGUCUUCACAGUAUAUGAUUUGACGCUGCUGCUUCUUACCUCUGGUAGAGAUCCUGGUAUAGUACCUCGUAACACGCACCCCCCUGAACCUGAAUCCCUUGAUGGGAACAAUGAUACUGGAAAUGGUCAGACUCCACAACAAUUGCGCUUACCACGGACAAAGGAUGUUUAUGUAAAUGGAGUUGUUGUAAAGGUCAAGUACUGCGACACCUGCAUGCUGUAUCGGCCACCUCGUUGCUCUCACUGUUCUAUCUGUAACAACUGUGUGGAGCGUUUUGAUCAUCACUGUCCUUGGGUUGGUCAAUGCAUAGGACUGCGUAAUUAUCGCUUCUUUUAUAUGUUUGUCUUCUCGACCACAUUACUCUGCCUCUACGUAUUUGGGUUCUGCUGGGUGUACAUAAUUAAGAUCAGAGAUGCAGAAGGUUCAUCGAUUUGGAAGGCAAUGUUGAAGACACCCGCCUCAAUGGUUCUGAUCAUCUACUGUUUUAUUUGUGUGUGGUUUGUUGGUGGUCUUUCUGUCUUCCAUUUCUACCUGAUGAGCACCAACCAGACUACAUAUGAGAACUUCAGGUAUCGGUACGACCGGCGGGCUAACCCAUAUAACGUAGGUGUGGUGAACAACUUUCUGGAGAUCUUCUGCACUGCUGUCCCCGCUUCCAAGAACAAUUUCCGAGCUAGGGUCCCAGUAGAGCAAGGUUUACAGCAAUCACGCCCACCAACCAGGGGUUUCAUGAGCCCAAACAUGGGCAAACCUGUUGGAGACCUUGAAUUGGGCAGGAAGCCAGUAUCAUGGGACGAACCUCGGUCAGGAGCUGAUAUAAGAGAUUUAGGAGUUGGGGGCAUGCUGGAUGAGAAAGAGGGCAGAAUAACCCAUGCGUCACCGGAUCUGAGCAGAGAAGCCCUUCCAGUUGAGCUCAUGGAAGGCAGGGCUGUUAUGCAUUCGAGACGAUCAAGCUGGGGUCACAGAAGUGGGACCUCAGAGUCGAUGGACAGCAUCGCCGUGCAGAUGGGAGGUGGAGAAACUAACUGGGGCUCGGUCAGCAGUGGCCACGGCACAACCAGUGGAACUCACUAG
Molecule: ribosomal RNA, 1326 nt
Filed under: Triticum aestivum (bread wheat)
Lineage: Eukaryota; Viridiplantae; Streptophyta; Magnoliopsida; Poales; Poaceae
Description: partial small subunit ribosomal RNA
Source: RNAcentral